This 330-nucleotide ribosomal RNA is filed under the name uncultured bacterium. RNAcentral's name for it is "bacterial SSU rRNA". It matches the Rfam family "Bacterial small subunit ribosomal RNA", at positions 568 to 898 of the family's 1533-position model. The record is from RNAcentral.
UGUGUAGGCGGUUGCUUAAGUUUGGUGUGAAAUCUCCCGGCUCAACUGGGAGGGUGCGCCGAAUACUGAGUGACUCGAGUGCGGGAGAGGAAAGUGGAAUUCCUGGUGUAGCGGUGAAAUGCGUAGAUAUCAGGAGGAACACCGGUGGUGUAGACGGCUUUCUGGACCGUAACUGACGCUGAAACACGAAAGCGUGGGUAGCAAACAGGAUUAGAUACCCUGGUAGUCCACGCCCUAAACGAUGCACAUUUGGUGUGGGUCAUUCAGUUGAUCCGUGCCGGAGCUAACGCGUUAAAUGUGCCGCCUGGGGAGUACAGUCGCAAGGCUGAA